This is a non-coding RNA of Pelobates cultripes (western spadefoot toad), 522 nucleotides long. NCBI's taxonomy places the organism in Eukaryota, Metazoa, Chordata, Amphibia, Anura, Pelobatidae. The record is from the annotation of a GenBank genome assembly.
GGCACUUUCAGACAUACAGGCACAAAAUAUUCCCAUAAUGCAUCCCGGUUUCCUCCCCUCUGCCCUGGAGAUAAUUGAGAAGUAAUUCAAUUAUCUCCCAGGACACAGGCAAAUCGCCAUUUUAAGUAAGACAGGCAAAACACAUAAAAAUAAACAAUUACCCAUCUACCGAACAUAUUAUAUUCGUGUAACACAUCCACAGAUAGCCUGGAUCUGAGUGCAUAUUCUUAGCGAAUAGCGCUCAGAUCCCAUACGUACAGUUCAAUCGCCAUGGAGUCAAAGUCUUUUACAGUCUUUCGGUAUGCUAUCUGGGUUCAGUUCAUUCGUAUAAUCCAAACUCCCGAACGGCCGGUGCUCGCAUGCCUUGUCGACUAAGAAGGGCGGUCUGUGGUUUCAGCGGUGUUCGGCAGAAAAAGUGUCCGUUUUUAGUUCCUUUCGCAUGGUUUAAAAUGGCCGCCGCCUCGUGGUCGACAUACGACUGACGACCACCCGGCAUUCGGUUGUAUUUAAGAGGAGUCUGCG